Molecule: long non-coding RNA, 368 nt
Filed under: Homo sapiens (human)
Lineage: Eukaryota; Metazoa; Chordata; Mammalia; Primates; Hominidae
Description: HSALNT0346859
Source: RNAcentral
CUAUCUACUUUCCUUUUAACUGUUGCCCUGUAUUGCAGUGGCUGAAAAGCUAAAGGCUCUAAUUUGCAGACUCCUUUACAGCCAGGAUUCCAGAAGACUCAGGUCUGAUGAAUGAGAUGCACGCUCCUGGGUGGCAGAGCAGAUAGGAGAGCAGAAGAGUCAGAGUAAGGGGAAGGUGAUGUGAAUGAAGAUGGAGCAGAAAAAUGUGAGCACACACCUUGCAGGGAAGCCAGCAACCGCCAGAAGCAGAAGCAGCAAAGGCAGAAUCUUCCAGUUGAACCUCCAGAGAAAGUAUGGCCCUGACGACAAACUAAUUUUGGACUUCUGGCUUCCUGAUACGUGAGAGAAUAAAUUUGUAUUGUUUUGAG